GAUGAACGCUGGCGGCGUGCUUAACACAUGCAAGUCGAACGGAAAGGCCCUGCUGUUGUGGGGUGCUCGAGUGGCGAACGGGUGAGUAACACGUGAGUAACCUGCCCUUGACUUUGGGAUAACUUCAGGAAACUGGGGCUAAUACCGGAUAGGAGCUCCUGAUCCAUGGUGGGGGUUGGAAAGUUGCGGCGGUUGGAGAUGGACUCGCGGCUUAUCAGCUUGUUGGUGGGGUAGUGGAUGACGAAGGCUUUGACGGGUAGCCGGCCUGAGAGGGUGACCGGCGACAAUGGGACUACGAUACGGCCCAGACGCCUACGGGAGGCAGUGGUGGGGAAUAUUGCACAGUGGGCGCGCGCCUGAGGCAGCGACGCCGCGUUCGGGAUGACGGCCUUCGGGGUGUGAACAGCUUUCGCCUGUGACGAAGCGUGAGUGACGGUAAUGGGUAAAGAAGCACCGGCUAACUACGUG
Molecule: ribosomal RNA, 468 nt
Filed under: uncultured bacterium
Lineage: Bacteria
Description: partial 16S ribosomal RNA
Rfam family: Bacterial small subunit ribosomal RNA
Source: RNAcentral